This 1343-nucleotide ribosomal RNA is filed under the name uncultured bacterium. RNAcentral describes it as "16S ribosomal RNA". It matches the Rfam family "Bacterial small subunit ribosomal RNA", at positions 28 to 1378 of the family's 1533-position model. The record is from RNAcentral.
GACGAACGCUGGCGGCGUGCUUAACACAUGCAAGUCGAACGGAAAGGCCCUGCUUUUGUGGGGUGCUCGAGUGGCGAACGGGUGAGUAACACGUGAGUAACCUGCCCUUGACUUUGGGAUAACUUCGGGAAACUGGGGCUAAUACCGGAUAGGAGCUCCUGCUGCAUGGUGGGGGUUGGAAAGUUUCGGCGGUUGGGGAUGGACUCGCGGCUUAUCAGCUUGUUGGUGGGGUAGUGGCUUACCAAGGCUUUGACGGGUAGCCGGCCUGAGAGGGUGACCGGCCACAUUGGGACUGAGAUACGGCCCAGACUCCUACGGGAGGCAGCAGUGGGGAAUAUUGCACAAUGGGCGGAAGCCUGAUGCAGCAACGCCGCGUGCGGGAUGACGGCCUUCGGGUUGUAAACCGCUUUCGCCUGUGACGAAGCGUGAGUGACGGUAAUGGGUAAAGAAGCACCGGCUAACUACGUGCCAGCAGCCGCGGUGAUACGUAGGGUGCGAGCGUUGUCCGGAUUUAUUGGGCGUAAAGGGCUCGUAGGUGGUUGAUCGCGUCGGAAGUGUAAUCUUGGGGCUUAACCCUGAGCGUGCUUUCGAUACGGGUUGACUUGAGGAAGGUAGGGGAGAAUGGAAUUCCUGGUGGAGCGGUGGAAUGCGCAGAUAUCAGGAGGAACACCAGUGGCGAAGGCGGUUCUCUGGGCCUUUCCUGACGCUGAGGAGCGAAAGCGUGGGGAGCGAACAGGCUUAGAUACCCUGGUAGUCCACGCUGUAAACGGUGGGUACUAGGUGUGGGGUCCAUUCCACGGGUUCCGUGCCGUAGCUAACGCUUUAAGUACCCCGCCUGGGGAGUACGGCCGCAAGGCUAAAACUCAAAGGAAUUGACGGGGCCCCGCACAAGCGGCGGAGCAUGCGGAUUAAUUCGAUGCAACGCGUAGAACCUUACCUGGGUUUGACAUGGAUCGGGAGCGCUCAGAGAUGGGUGUGCCUCUUUUGGGGUCGGUUCACAGGUGGUGCAUGGCUGUCGUCAGCUCGUGUCGUGAGAUGUUGGGUUAAGUCCCGCAACGAGCGCAACCCUUGUUCACUGUUGCCAGCACGUUAUGGUGGGGACUCAGUGGAGACCGCCGGGGUCAACUCGGAGGAAGGUGGGGAUGACGUCAAGUCAUCAUGCCCCUUAUGUCCAGGGCUUCACGCAUGCUACAAUGGCUGGUACAGAGAGUGGCGAGCCUGUGAGGGUGAGCGAAUCUCGGAAAGCCGGUCUCAGUUCGGAUUGGGGUCUGCAACUCGACCUCAUGAAGUCGGAGUCGCUAGUAAUCGCAGAUCAGCAACGCUGCGGUGAAUACGUUCCCGGG